ACGAAGUAGAGGAUUUCCCCGUAGCGCAACGAGCGCAACCCUCGUGCCUUGNUNUGCCAGCGAGUCAUGUCGGGGACUCUAGGGAGACUGCCGGUGUCAAACCGGAGGAAGGUGGGGACGACGUCAAGUCAUCAUGGCCCUUACGUCCAGGGCUACACACGUGCUACAAUGGCCGGUACAGAGCGUCGCCAACUCGCAAGAGUGCGCUAAUCGCUAAAAGCCGGUCUAAGUACGGAUUGUGGUCUGCAACUCGACCACAUGAAGCUGGAAUCGCUAGUAAUCGUGGAUCAGCUACGCCACGGUGAAUACGUACCCGGGCCUUGUACACACCGCCCGUCACGCCAUGGAAGCUGGGGGGACCUAAAGUCGGUGGGCUAUUCGCAAGGGGGCAGCCGCCAGAGGUCAAUUCAGUGACUGGGGCGAAGUCGUAACAAGGUAGCCGUAGGGGAACCUGCGGCUGGAUCACCUCCUUUCUGGAGCAUCGAGUAGUGGCCGGCUUGCCGUGCCGACGAAAGAUCUCUGGUGUCGCCCGCACUCAUCGUUCGAUGUCCGAUUCGCACUCACUUUUCAUCUGUCGCCUGGGCCUUCGGGACCAGGCUGCUCUUUGACAAUCGAAGGACGGAUGGUGUGCGCGUAUCGGCCNGUGCUGNCUGAUGCGCCAAUGAGAGGNAAUCUUUACCG
This 681-nucleotide ribosomal RNA is filed under the name uncultured bacterium. RNAcentral describes it as "bacterial SSU rRNA". The stretch from base 1 to 473 matches the Rfam family "Bacterial small subunit ribosomal RNA", at positions 1065 to 1533 of the family's 1533-position model. The record is from RNAcentral.